Non-coding RNA from Hordeum vulgare subsp. vulgare (domesticated barley), 134 nucleotides. The record is from Rfam. Lineage: Eukaryota; Viridiplantae; Streptophyta; Magnoliopsida; Poales; Poaceae.
AUAGGAUUCCCUCUGUCCCAAAAUUUUGCCUUAGAUUUUUCUAGAUAUAAAUGUAUCUAGUCACCUUUUAGUAUUUAGAUACAUCUAUUUUAGACAAAUCUAAGACAAGAAUUUUGGGACGGAGCGAGUACAAC